Molecule: ribosomal RNA, 253 nt
Filed under: uncultured bacterium
Lineage: Bacteria
Description: partial 16S ribosomal RNA
Rfam family: Bacterial small subunit ribosomal RNA
Source: RNAcentral
UACGUAGGGUGCGAGCGUUGUCCGGAAUUAUUGGGCGUAAAGAGCUCGUAGGCGGUUUGUCGCGUCGGCCGUGAAAACUUGGGGCUUAACUCCAAGCUUGCGGUCGAUACGGGCAGACUUGAGUUCGGCAGGGGAGACUGGAAUUCCUGGUGUAGCGGUGAAAUGCGCAGAUAUCAGGAGGAACACCGGUGGCGAAGGCAGGUCACUGGGCCGCAACUGACGCUGAGGAGCGAAAGCAUGGGGAGCGAACAGG